Molecule: ribosomal RNA, 449 nt
Filed under: uncultured bacterium
Lineage: Bacteria
Description: bacterial SSU rRNA
Rfam family: Bacterial small subunit ribosomal RNA
Source: RNAcentral
UGAGGAAUCUUGCGCAAUGGGCGAAAGCCUGACGCAGCGACGCCGCGUGGAGGAUGAAGGUCUUAGGAUUGUAAACUCCUGUUAAGUGGGAAGAAAACUUUAUCUCUAAUAUAGAUAAAGCAUGACGGUACCAUUAGAGAAAGCACUGGCUAAUCUCGUGCCAGCAGCCGCGGUAAUACGAGAGGUGCAAGCGUUAUUCGGAAUUAUUGGGCGUAAAGGGUGCGUAGACGGCAUAUUAAGUCAACUGUUAAAUUCCCUGGCCUAACUGGGGGCAAGCGGUAGAAACUGAUUUGCUAGAGGAUGGAAGAGAGAAGUGGAAUUCUCGGAGUAGCGGUAAAAUGCGUAGAUCUCGAGAGGAACACCGAUGGCGAAGGCAGCUUCUUGGUCCAUAUCUGACGUUGAGGCACGAAAGCGUGGGGAGCAAACAGGAUUAGAUACCCCGGUAGUCC